RNAcentral lists this ribosomal RNA (282 nucleotides) under uncultured bacterium. RNAcentral's name for it is "partial 16S ribosomal RNA". It matches the Rfam family "Bacterial small subunit ribosomal RNA", at positions 773 to 1060 of the family's 1533-position model. The record is from RNAcentral.
GUGGAUUAGAUACCCGAGUAGUCCACGCCGUAAACGAUGCUAACUCGUUUUUGGAUUUUCGGAUUCAGAGACCAAGCGAAAGUGAUAAGUUAGCCACCUGGGGAGUACGUUCGCAAGAAUGAAACUCAAAGGAAUUGACGGGGGCCCGCACAAGCGGUGGAUUAUGUGGUUUAAUUCGAUGAUACGCGAGGAACCUUACCAAGACUUAAAUGGGAAUUGACAGAUUUAGAAAUAGAUCCUCCUUCGGGCAAUUUUCAAGGUGCUGCACGGCUGUCGACAACU